GCUUAAAGUAGCUUAUAUAAAGCGUUGUUUUGAAGAAACAUAUAAAAUAUUAAUAAUUCUAAAGCG
Molecule: transfer RNA, 66 nt
Filed under: Arisubathynella cheongmiensis
Lineage: Eukaryota; Metazoa; Arthropoda; Malacostraca; Bathynellacea; Parabathynellidae
Description: tRNA-Phe
Source: RNAcentral